Molecule: ribosomal RNA, 462 nt
Filed under: uncultured bacterium
Lineage: Bacteria
Description: bacterial SSU rRNA
Rfam family: Bacterial small subunit ribosomal RNA
Source: RNAcentral
GUACGGGAGGCAGCAGUCGAGAAUUUUUCACAAUGGGCGCAAGCCUGAUGGAGCGACGCCGCGUGGGGGAUGAAGGGUUUCGAUCCGUAAACCCCUGUCAUUUGCGAACAAACCUCAUUCAAUAACACUGGAUGAGUUGAUUGUAGUGAAAGAGGAAGGGACGGCUAACUCUGUGCCAGCAGCCGCGGUAAUACAGAGGUCCCAAGCGUUGUUCGGAUUCACUGGGCGUAAAGGGUGCGUAGGUGGCCAGGUAAGUUCGGUGUGAAAGCUCGGAGCUCAACUCCGAAAAGGCAUUGAAUACUAUCUGGCUGGAGGGUCGGAGGGGAGACUGGAAUUCUCGGUGUAGCAGUGAAAUGCGUAGAUAUCGAGAGGAACACCAGUGGCGAAGGCGAGUCUCUGGACGACACCUGACACUGAGGCACGAAAGCUAGGGGAGCAAACAGGAUUAGAUACCCUGGUAGU